RNAcentral lists this ribosomal RNA (820 nucleotides) under uncultured bacterium. Its description in RNAcentral is "bacterial SSU rRNA". It matches the Rfam family "Bacterial small subunit ribosomal RNA", at positions 42 to 878 of the family's 1533-position model. The record is from RNAcentral.
GCGUGCUUAACACAUGCAAGUCGAGCGAUGAAACUACUUCGGUAGUGAAUUAGCGGCGAACGGGUGAGGAACACGUGAGGAAUCUGCCUUCAACACUGGGAUAACUCCGGGAAACCGGGGCUAAUACCGGAUACGAGCCUUGAUCGCAUGAUCGAGGCUGGAAAGUUUUUCGGUUGAAGAUGACCUCGCGGCCUAUCAGCUUGUUGGUGAGGUAAUGGCUCACCAAGGCGACGACGGGUAGCCGGCCUGAGAGGGCGACCGGCCACACUGGGACUGAGACACGGCCCAGACUCCUACGGGAGGCAGCAGUGGGGAAUAUUGGGCAAUGGAGGAAACUCUGACCCAGCGACGCCGCGUGCGGGAUGAAGGCCUUCGGGUUGUAAACCGCUUUCAGUAGGGAAGAAGCGAAAGUGACGGUACCUACAGAAGAAGCACCGGCUAACUAUGUGCCAGCAGCCGCGGUAAUACAUAGGGUGCAAGCGUUGUCCGGAAUUAUUGGGCGUAAAGAGCUCGUAGGUGGUUUGAUACGUCGGGUGUGAAAUUCAGGGGCUUAACCCCAGACCUGCAUUCGAUACGGGCGAGCUUGAGUAUGGUAGGGGAGUCUGGAAUUCCUGGUGUAGCGGUGGAAUGCGCAGAUAUCAGGAGGAACACCAAUGGCGAAGGCAGGACUCUGGGCCAUUACUGACACUGAGGAGCGAAAGCGUGGGGAGCGAACAGGAUUAGAUACCCUGGUAGUCCACGCCGUAAACGGUGGGCACUAGUUGUGGGGACCUUCCACGGUCUCUGCGACGCAGCUAACGCAUAAGUGCCCCGCCCUGGG